Molecule: ribosomal RNA, 467 nt
Filed under: uncultured bacterium
Lineage: Bacteria
Description: partial 16S ribosomal RNA
Rfam family: Bacterial small subunit ribosomal RNA
Source: RNAcentral
GACGAACGCUGGCGGCGUGCUUAACACAUGCAAGUCGAACGGAAAGGCCCUGCUUUUGUGGGGUGCUCGAGUGGCGAACGGGUGAGUAACACGUGAGUAACCUGCCCUUGACUUUGGGAUAACUUCAGGAAACUGGGGCUAAUACCGGAUAGGAGCUCCUGCUGCAUGGUGGGGGUUGGAAAGUUUCGGCGGUAGGGAUGGACUCGCGGCUUAUCAGCUUGUUGGUGGGGUAGUGGCUUACCAAGGCUUUGACGGGUAGCCGGCCUGAGAGGGUGACCGGCCACAUUGGGACUGAGAUACGGCCCAGACUCCUACGGGAGGCAGCAGUGGGGAAUAUUGCACAAUGGGCGGAAGCCUGAUGCAGCAACGCCGCGUGCGGGAUGACGGCCUUCGGGUUGUAAACCGCUUUCGCCUGUGACGAAGCGUGAGUGACGGUAAUGGGUAAAGAAGCACCGGCUAACUACGUG